UCCUUGAUGGGUCAGUGGUAAAGAAUCUGCCUGUAAUGCAGGAGACACAGGUUUGAUUCCUGGUCAGGGAA
RNAcentral lists this transfer RNA (71 nucleotides) under Bos taurus (domestic cattle). It matches the Rfam family "tRNA". Rfam says of the family: Transfer RNA (tRNA) molecules are approximately 80 nucleotides in length. Their secondary structure includes four short double-helical elements and three loops (D, anti-codon, and T loops). Lineage: Eukaryota; Metazoa; Chordata; Mammalia; Artiodactyla; Bovidae. The record is from Rfam by way of RNAcentral. RNAcentral also lists the same sequence under 5 other names.